AGUAAAAGUCGUAACAAGGUUUCCGUAGGUGAACCUGCGGAAGGAUCAUUAAUGAAUUCUGAAAGGGGUUGUAGCUGGCCGUUUCGUUUGAGCGGCAUGUGCACGCCCUGAUCAUUAUCCAUCUCACACACCUGUGCACAUACUGUAGGUCGGCUUUUGAUUGGAGUGGGGUCUUCAUCGACUCUGCUUUUUAGUUGGGGCCUUCCUAUGUUUUAUCACACACUACUUCAGUUAAAAGAAUGUCCUCUUGCGUCUAACGCAUUUAAAUACAACUUUCAGCAACGGAUCUCUUGGCUCUCGCAUCGAUGAAGAACGCAGCGAAAUGCGAUAAGUAAUGUGAAUUGCAGAAUUCAGUGAAUCAUCGAAUCUUUGAACGCACCUUGCGCUCCUUGGUAUUCCGAGGAGCAUGCCUGUUUGAGUGUCAUGGAAUUCUCAACUCUAUUUGCUUUUGUGAAUAGAGCUUGGACUUGGAGGUUUAUUGCCGGUACCUGUGAUCGGCUCCUCUUGAAUGCAUUAGCUCGAACCUUUUGUGGAUCAGCUUAUCGGUGUGAUAAAAUGUCUACGCCGUUACUGUGAAGCAUAUUAUUCGGCUUCCAAUCGUCCUUCACGGGACAAUAACUUUGACCUUUGACCUCAAAUCAGGUAGGAUUACCCGCU
Molecule: ribosomal RNA, 657 nt
Filed under: uncultured fungus
Lineage: Eukaryota; Fungi
Description: eukaryotic LSU rRNA
Rfam family: 5.8S ribosomal RNA (bases 271-424)
Source: RNAcentral